AUUUGCCACCAGGCGCCAGGACACAGUAGCAACUCUGCUAGGAGUGGUGGGCCCUCCUGCAGGCUAGGAGCUGCUUAUCAGGGGAAACAGGUCCCACACGGUGGGCAGCAUCCAGAACCUUCCAGAUGAGGUUGUGGAGGGGGGGUACCAGUAGUUACGGUGGCCUUCCCUCCCUCCAGAGUAGAGCAGCCCAGGCCCCGGUGGGCCACGGAAGAACAAACACCGGACAGAAGCUGGACGCUGAGGCUGCAGUCGCCAAGAGCCCCACAGAGCAGUGACUUCCCAUGGUGAUGAGAGGGCUCGUGCAGAGCAGGGGCUCAGGCUGGCCCCAGGAGCGUGGACAGCGUGGGCACCACUGACCGGGCACCUGCAGACCUGGGACCGCAGCAAGACCACACAGAGGCCCAGAAGAAGCUGGCUCCUCGUCAUGCAGAGACGCCAAGGCCCAAUGGGUCCCUGUCUCCCGGGGGAAUCUCUCUACCCAUGCCGCGGAGCUGGGCACAGGACCCCGGCCUCUGGAAAGCCUUGCACAGCCUGCCCACCCACACGGAGCGGGUCCCCAGGACCCCGGGCACCCCCGAGGCCCGCGGGCCAAGGAGGCUGGAACACCAGGCAUCCCGCCCCAGCCCUGUCUGUGUCACUUAACAGCAGUGACACUUAACAAGGACCCAGGCCCUCAGAACGCCAAUUUCAAAGUGAGAGUGGCUGGACCUGGGCUCCGCGUCCCAGGUCUGCUGUGCCCCCACCAGCACGUGACCCUGACAUUUACAAGCUGCCGCUGGCAUCCUCAGAGAUCCUGCCUUAAGUUCAGGGCCAGGGGUCCGUGGUCCCCUGUUGCUGGGGGGCGGGGGGGUGUCACAGUUCUGACGGUGACUUGGGGUCACUCACGUUCACCUCACACGCGAGGGCCACCUUCCCUGCCCGGCCGCCCCUCGAGCCGUUCCAACUCAGUCUAGAUCCUUCCGGGCCCUAGGCCUCAGCCCUUCCUGGUGCGGGCUGUGCUGUGUCCCCUGGGAAUUCUUAUGCGGAAGCUCCACCCCCAAGAGCGCAGGAUGCGACCGUCCCUGGAGACUAAAGAGGUAAUGACGGCGACGGGAGAAGAUCGGGUGCUUCAGACUCCAGCAGAAUGUCUCCCUACAAAAAGAGCUGAUGGGGGGGGCACGGGGGCACCGAGGGAAGGUCCCUGGAGGACAAGGAUGGGGGACAAGCCUGGUGAGGCCUCGGGAGGCCCCGUCCCGAGCGGGGAGGAAACGCACGCUUGCUGUUUGAGCGGCCCUGGGUGUGGUGCUUUGUCACAGCCACCCCGUGCAGACGAGUACACCCCCAAGUACCACCACGUACUUGGGGGACGCUCCCUGUGCCCUGGUCGGUCCUGUCUCAACCCCCAGCCGGGCGAUCCCUGGAGCCGGCACAACCCUGAUGCCCUGUUCUGUGAGUUCUGUUGGUUGGGGGAUUGGCUGGGGGAGGGGGUGUCUGGCUGCCCAGGCAGAUGUACAGUGGGGACUCCCCUGUCAGGCUGGGCCCCUCCCAUGUGCCCGCCCAGCAUGGCAGUUUUCCUGCUGGAUCAGCCAAGGCUCAGGGCCCUUCCCCUGCCAGGUCACAGAGAACCCAGGCCCAUCUGACCCCAGGCCCCAGUGGACGCUCAACCCUGUGUCCCUUGUCCCAGGUUCUCUAGGAACCAUCCCCAGACACGCGGCUUGGCUGCUGCUGGCCCUGAUGGUCCGGCUUCCUGCCAGCCAUGGGUGGGGGCCCCCCACCCGCGGCCCCCCAGCAGCAGCCUGGGGCCUCCCUCCCCAGGUGCCCAUGCUGUCACCUCCACAUAAAUCCCUGCAGCUUGCGUCUCACACACACAAAGGCAGGUUCCCAGUGCUGCUGGAGGCAGGAGUGGCCGGCCACCAACUCUGCAGGUAUAGGCAUCCAGACACCAACUCUGCAGGUAUAGGCCCCCAGACCCAACAGAGACCCAACCUGGGCAGAGGGCGCACAGCUGGGCCCUUGGAGCUUCCAGAAAAGCCCCCAGCACUGGCAGGCAGGGGCCAGGGCCAGGCGUUUCAAAACACCAGCAAAAGUGCUCAGCCCCGAACCCCUAGACAAGAAGGAGAAGACAGUGAGGGAUGUAGGCACCAUCGGAAGCUAAUUACAACGUCGGGGGGCACCCCCUGCCCCCCGCACAAACAUGUCUAGCAACCUGGCACUGGCAUUUAAUGGGCUGCAAUUCUUUAAGCUGAGAGCCCAGCUGAGCCAUUACGGCGGCCAAUUUGCAGGGAAGUAGAAAGCACCGCACGGGAGCCGGGAAUGGGGUCACCUCGUGACCAGAGGGGCAGCGGCCCAGGCACAGGGGCAUGGGCCCCUGGACAGCCACCAGGAUGCCCCUGAAACAGCAAGCCCGAGGCCAGGGCAGUCGGAGGACCACACUAGAGAUGCAACCUCCUGAAUCCAGGCCCGGUACGCCUUCACCCGCAACGCCUAUCCACCUUCCUGCCUUGGGAAAACUCCUAUCCACCCCUCAAAACCCAGGCUGAAGGCUCCCCCACCACACAGUUGUUUACCGAACGCCUGCUGUGGGCAGGGACUGCUCUAUGUCCUUGGACCGAGUGAACAGACAGGCAGCCUGCAGGGAGCCAGCAGAGGACAGCGAACAAGGCACGUGUAGAGCAGUCACAUGUGCCAGCGAGGAUGUCAAAGCAGCGAGGGGGGCUCCAGGCCUGACCAAGGGCAGGGGGGGUGUCUCUUGGCCACCAGGGCACCCCAGCAUGAGCCCGGGGCUGUGACACCAAGUCAGUGAGGCAACCCCUGGAGACCCGCUGCUCACCCACCCCCACACCUGGGGUGUCCUGGGUGGGCGCACACCUGCUGGGUGUGGGGCCCUCCCGGGAUCACACCCUGCUCACCCCCCACAGAAGGGCGGUCCCUGGAGAGACCCUUGCACACAGCAGGGCUUCACUCCCAGUGGACUCACACCCUCAGCGGGACCUCAGAUUAUGUGGGGCUUGGACUUAGGCCCGGACACAGAGUAGGGCCGCACUCAGGGGGGGCUGUGGGCCAAGACCGUGCGCAUGGUGGGAUCAUGUCCUCUGUCACGAAGGAAGGAUGGCCUCGCCAGGACCUGCAGGUGUGCACAGGCAAACGCACAGGCCAAGCGCACAGUAGGUCCUGGUCCCCUGUGGCCCUGUCCCCCCCUAAGCUGGCGGAGCCCCCGGAGCAGGGCCUUGGCCGUGCGGCGUGUGGAUUCGCCCAUUCUGGCUCCCCUCCAGCCACCUGCAUCUGCAUCGAUCUCUGAAUAACUCGAUCCAUUAUGCUGGAAGAGAAUUCUUGGAAACCGGCAGGAAAAGGAAGCCUUCUGUGAAUCGUCUGAGUCAUUUUUUUUAAACUAACAAUGGGAUGCCUCUCCCUCCCCAGCGCGGUGGGCUGUCUACGCUUGCUGCAGCCGCUGCCACCAGGGGUCCAGAAAGGUGCUGGUGCCCCCACUGUGGGAGGGGGCCACAGGUGCCGUGGGGCAGGGCCCACAGGCCGGGCUGGACCCCCACGGCCUGGCCGGGGCAUGGUCUUCCCUGCCAGGGCUCACCGGCCCGUCCGCUUUGCCACAUCACAGCUUCCCGUUCAAGCCCUGCCUGGCCAGGUACUCGGGCCCUCGAGGGGGGAGCGGGCUGCUGACACCCCCUCCAGGAGGGAGACAGUGGGGCUCCCGCAGGCCAGGGCGACGCGCAGUCUGACUGCCACGGCAGGGGGAGCAAACGGAUUGGAGCAGGUGGCCAGGGCUUGGGAGCGCUGGACGUCCCCUCGCUUGGAAAGUGGGGACCCCAAGGGCACCCCCCAAGAGAAGACCUUCCAGAAGGAGCCUGAAGAACUCUCCCUGCGGUGGGCGCUGCUGCCUCAGGCUGGCAGUCCUUGGCGGAGUGGGAUCCACAGGCACGAAGAGCAGAAGGGGUCCUGCUGUUUCUGCUUCUUGCAUCAGGCCAGGCAGUCGCCAGACUUGCAAAACCCUGAAACGCCCCUUGUCUGGCUAGAUUUUUAUGUCUUGCAAGACAGAGGCAUUUUUAAUAAAAGAAAUGCUACGUUCACA
Molecule: long non-coding RNA, 4063 nt
Organism: Phacochoerus africanus (Common warthog)
Lineage: Eukaryota; Metazoa; Chordata; Mammalia; Artiodactyla; Suidae
Exons: 2
Source: RefSeq, a predicted model, not a curated record